GGCAGUGAGGGUGAUCUGACUGGGACAUCUGUCACCCCGCUGAUCGCUGGGGUUGACUCGGCUGCUCUGGCCGGCUGGGCAGGUGUCAGGUGUCCCCUCCCUCCCUCACCGCUCCCUGCGUCUCUCCCGAAGCUGCACGCUCGGGAGAAGAGGACCUUCCCCGAUAGAGGAGAGGACCAUUCUCCCGCCAAAGGUAUUUAACAA
This 204-nucleotide small nuclear RNA is filed under the name Myotis brandtii (Brandt's bat). Its description in RNAcentral is "7SK RNA". It matches the Rfam family "7SK RNA", at positions 1 to 200 of the family's 331-position model. From Rfam's summary of the family: 7SK was discovered as an abundant small nuclear RNA in the mid-70s but a possible function has only recently been suggested. The record is from Rfam by way of RNAcentral. Lineage: Eukaryota; Metazoa; Chordata; Mammalia; Chiroptera; Vespertilionidae.